This 236-nucleotide long non-coding RNA is filed under the name Elaeis guineensis (African oil palm). RNAcentral describes it as "long non-coding RNA (EGUI_LNC024008)". Lineage: Eukaryota; Viridiplantae; Streptophyta; Magnoliopsida; Arecales; Arecaceae. The record is from RNAcentral.
CAUCGUUGUCUUUCAAUGUACUUCAACCGCCACUAGUUAUUUUCUCAUAUGACUGUACUGCUCAUUGUUCUGGACCAUAGACUUUGCAGGACAGAAUACUUAGUUUUAAUACCAACUUGAUCCAAUUAAAAAAAAAAAAAUUAUUUUUUAAUUUACUAAAUCAAAACUCUCAAAAAAUAAUAAAGAGUAUUAAAAAUUUUGAAAGCUAGAUUUUAAGUUCUUUACUUGCAUCAAAU